UUUAGACCCACGGCAAACGGGUGAGUAAUACCUAGGAACGUAUCUUUAGUUGAGGAUAUCCCAUCGAAAGAUGGUGCAAUACUCAAUGUGAUCGCAAGAUUAAAGUCGCAAGACGCUAAAGAAGCGGCCUGGGCACCAUCAGCUAGUUGGUAAGGUAAUGGCUUACCAAGGCUAUGACGGUUAGGGGCCCCGAGAGGGGAGACCCCCACACUGGAACUGCGACACGGUCCAG
RNAcentral lists this ribosomal RNA (232 nucleotides) under uncultured bacterium. RNAcentral describes it as "partial 16S ribosomal RNA". It matches the Rfam family "Bacterial small subunit ribosomal RNA", at positions 86 to 334 of the family's 1533-position model. The record is from RNAcentral.